AUUGAACGCUGGCGGCAUGCCUUACACAUGCAAGUCGAACGGCAGCACGGGUGCUUGCACCUGGUGGCGAGUGGCGAACGGGUGAGUAAUACAUCGGAACAUGUCCUGUAGUGGGGGAUAGCCCGGCGAAAGCCGGAUUAAUACCGCAUACGAUCUACGGAUGAAAGCGGGGGACCUUCGGGCCUCGCGCUAUAGGGUUGGCCGAUGGCUGAUUAGCUAGUUGGUGGGGUAAAGGCCUACCAAGGCGACGAUCAGUAGCUGGUCUGAGAGGACGACCAGCCACACUGGGACUGAGACACGGCCCAGACUCCUACGGGAGGCAGCAGUGGGGAAUUUUGGACAAUGGGCGAAAGCCUGAUCCAGCAAUGCCGCGUGUGUGAAGAAGGCCUUCGGAUUGUAAAGCACGUUUGUCCGGAAAGAAAUCCUUGGCCCUAAUACGGUCGGGGGAUGACGGUACCGGAAGAAUAAGCACCGGCUAACUACGUG
This 486-nucleotide ribosomal RNA is filed under the name uncultured bacterium. Its description in RNAcentral is "partial 16S ribosomal RNA". It matches the Rfam family "Bacterial small subunit ribosomal RNA", at positions 30 to 507 of the family's 1533-position model. The record is from RNAcentral.